RNAcentral lists this transfer RNA (71 nucleotides) under Phrynosoma platyrhinos (Desert horned lizard). RNAcentral describes it as "tRNA-OTHER". Lineage: Eukaryota; Metazoa; Chordata; Lepidosauria; Squamata; Phrynosomatidae. The record is from RNAcentral.
AGAUAAGAGGGAAAAUGGUUUAACAUUAGACUUUAACUCUGGUGACCAGGGUUCGAAUCCCAGCUCAGCCA